AGUGAACGCUGGCGGUAGGCCUAACACAUGCAAGUCGAACGGCAGCACAGUAAGAGCUUGCUCUUACGGGUGGCGAGUGGCGGACGGGUGAGGAAUACAUCGGAAUCUACUUUUCGUGGGGGAUAACGUAGGGAAACUUACGCUAAUAACGCAUACGACCUACGGGUGAAAGCAGGGGAUCUUCGGACCUUGCGCGGUUGAAUGAGCCGAUGUCGGAUUAGCUAGUUGGCGGGGUAAAGGCCCACCAAGGCGACGAUCCGUAGCUGGUCUGAGAGGAUGAUCAGCCACACUGGAACUGAGACACGGUCCAGACUCCUACGGGAGGCAGCAGUGGGGAAUAUUGGACAAUGGGCGCAAGCCUGAUCCAGCCAUACCGCGUGGGUGAAGAAGGCCUUCGGGUUGUAAAGCCCUUUUGUUGGGAAAGAAAAGCAGCAGGUUAAUACCCCGCUGUUCUGACGGUACCCAAAGAAUAAGCACCGGCUAACUUCGUG
RNAcentral lists this ribosomal RNA (491 nucleotides) under uncultured bacterium. RNAcentral describes it as "partial 16S ribosomal RNA". It matches the Rfam family "Bacterial small subunit ribosomal RNA", at positions 29 to 507 of the family's 1533-position model. The record is from RNAcentral.